Molecule: ribosomal RNA, 184 nt
Filed under: uncultured bacterium
Lineage: Bacteria
Description: partial 16S ribosomal RNA
Rfam family: Bacterial small subunit ribosomal RNA
Source: RNAcentral
UGCAUGAAGUCGGAAUUGCUAGUAAUCGCGGAUCAGCAUGCCGCGGUGAAUACGUUCCCGGGCCUUGUACACACCGCCCGUCACACCAUGAGAGUCGAUAACACCCGAAGCCUGUGAGCUAACCGCAAGGAGGCAGCAGUCGAAGGUGGGGUUGAUGAUUGGGGUGAAGUCGUAACAAGGUACC